UGGGGAAUAUUGCACAAUGGAGGAAACUCUGAUGCAGCGACGCCGCGUGAGUGAAGAAGGUCUUCGGAUCGUAAAACUCUGUCCUUGGUGAAGAAAUAAUGACGGUAGCCAAGGAGGAAGCCCCGGCUAACUACGUGCCAGCAGCCGCGGUAAUACGUAGGGGGCGAGCGUUGUCCAGAUUUACUGGGCGUAAAGGGUGAGUAGGCGGUUGUAUGUGUCAGAUGUAAAAGGCUAAGGCUUAACCAUAGUUAGCAUUUGAAACUGUACAACUUGAGUGCAGGAGAGGUAAGUGGAAUUCCUAGUGUAGCGGUGAAAUGCGUAGAUAUUAGGAGGAACACCAGUGGCGAAGGCGACUUACUGGACUGUAACUGACGCUGAGUCACGAAAGCGUGGGUAGCAAACAGGAUUAGAUACCCUGGUAGUCCACGCUGUAAACGAUGAGUGCUAGGUGUUGGGUAGCGAUACUCAGUGCCGAAGUAAACACAAUAAGCACUCCGCCUGGGGAGUACGGUCGCAAGACUG
Molecule: ribosomal RNA, 522 nt
Filed under: uncultured bacterium
Lineage: Bacteria
Description: bacterial SSU rRNA
Rfam family: Bacterial small subunit ribosomal RNA
Source: RNAcentral